CGCGCAGGUCCUUCGCCGCCCUCCUCCCCCGGAAACCGAGCGUGCGCUAGGAGUUCCGCAGGACAGUUCUGUUCCGGACCCAGCGCUCAGACUGCGCGCCGCCACCGGGGGGCAUCAGGCCUCGCUGGGGAUUCAGUGGCUGAGACCCCGAAACUCCGAGCCCGGACGCUUACCUGUGCGCGAUAGGUGGGCGUGGUGAGCGACCCAGAGCUUCAGGGCCCCCAGGGCGGCCGGCCUGCCUGCCACCCACCGCUUGGUCUCCGCAGGGAAACAGAGUCCCACAGGCGCCGUCGCCCCCUGCCCUCCAUGGGUUCGAUCCCGGCCACUCGGGUGAAGCGCUUGCUUCCCUAAAAGAAUACAAGGAUUUCUGAGGCGGGGAGGGGAUGCGGAAAGGCGUCUUCUGUUUUGUCAGCGAUGACAACUUCUAGCGCGUGGCUUAACUUUCAGUUGUGCCUGGAAAAGAAAUGCAGGUUUGAAGAGCUUGAGAGACAUACCCAAGGUAAAUCUUUGGCUAAGAAUUCCCACCGAAUAUUUUCUUACUCUGAAUCCCCUCUCUUGCCUUCUUGUCAACUGGCUUCCCAAAUCUUAGUCUCACUCUGUCAAUGUCUCUGCCAAAGAGAAAGAAUCAAGUCUGUAACAGCAAAUAUCUAA
Molecule: long non-coding RNA, 651 nt
Filed under: Callithrix jacchus (white-tufted-ear marmoset)
Lineage: Eukaryota; Metazoa; Chordata; Mammalia; Primates; Cebidae
Description: lncRNA (ENSCJAG00000077999.1)
Source: RNAcentral